This is a small nuclear RNA of Peromyscus maniculatus bairdii (prairie deer mouse), 106 nucleotides long. Lineage: Eukaryota; Metazoa; Chordata; Mammalia; Rodentia; Cricetidae. The record is from Ensembl.
GUGUUAACCUCAGCAGCACACGUACCAAAACUGGAACACUGCAGAGAAGAUGAACACAGCCCUUCAUAAGGAUGGCAUGCAAAUUGGUGAAGCGGUCAGUCCAUAC